GCGGAGGUAGCUAAGCCUGGCCCACGGCGCCGGUCUUGAAAACCGGUGGGCGCAAGCCCCCGGGAGUUCGAAUCUCCCCCUCCGCG
This 86-nucleotide transfer RNA is filed under the name Thermoplasmata archaeon HGW-Thermoplasmata-1. Its description in RNAcentral is "tRNA-Ser". It matches the Rfam family "tRNA". Rfam says of the family: Transfer RNA (tRNA) molecules are approximately 80 nucleotides in length. The record is from RNAcentral. Lineage: Archaea; Methanobacteriati; Thermoplasmatota; Thermoplasmata.